This is a transfer RNA of 84 nucleotides. It matches the Rfam family "tRNA". From Rfam's summary of the family: Transfer RNA (tRNA) molecules are approximately 80 nucleotides in length. Their secondary structure includes four short double-helical elements and three loops (D, anti-codon, and T loops). The record is from Rfam.
GCCGGGUUGGCGCAGUGGUAACGCGUCGCACUUGUACCAUGUACAGUUAUGCGAAGAUCAGCAGUUCAAUUCUGCUACUCGGCA